This 439-nucleotide ribosomal RNA is filed under the name uncultured bacterium. RNAcentral describes it as "partial 16S ribosomal RNA". It matches the Rfam family "Bacterial small subunit ribosomal RNA", at positions 339 to 795 of the family's 1533-position model. The record is from RNAcentral.
CUACGGGUCGCAGCAGUGAGGAAUAUUGCACAAUGGGGGGAACCCUGAUGCAGCAACGCCGCGUGGAGGAUGACGCAUUUCGGUGUGUAAACUCCUUUUAUAUGUCAAGAAAGUGACGGUAGCAUAUGAAUAAGCACCGGCUAACUCCGUGCCAGCAGCCGCGGUAAUACGGAGGGUGCAAGCGUUACUCGGAAUCACUGGGCGUAAAGGACGCGUAGGCGGGUUGGAAAGUCAGGUGUGAAAUCCUACAGCUUAACUGUAGAACUGCACUUGAAACUUCUAAUCUAGAGUAUGGGAGGGGGAGAUGGAAUUAGUGGUGUAGGGGUAAAAUCCGUAGAUAUCACUAGGAAUACCUAAAGCGAAGGCGAUCUCCUGGAACAUUACUGACACUAAGGCGUGAAAGCGUGGGGAGCAAACAGGAUUAGAUACCCCGGUAGUC